GCCUUUAUGACCAGGGCUACACACGUACUACAAUGGCCGGUACAAAGGGCAGCCACUUAGCGAUAAGGAGCCAAUCCCGUAAAGCCGGUCUCAGUCCGGAUUGGAGUCUGCAACUCGACUCCAUGAAGUUGGAAUCGCUAGUAAUCGCAGAUCAGCACGCUGCGGUGAAUACGUUCCCGGGCCUU
Molecule: ribosomal RNA, 185 nt
Filed under: uncultured Desulfocapsa sp.
Lineage: Bacteria; Pseudomonadati; Thermodesulfobacteriota; Desulfobulbia; Desulfobulbales; Desulfocapsaceae
Description: partial 16S ribosomal RNA
Rfam family: Bacterial small subunit ribosomal RNA
Source: RNAcentral